Molecule: long non-coding RNA, 1779 nt
Filed under: Homo sapiens (human)
Lineage: Eukaryota; Metazoa; Chordata; Mammalia; Primates; Hominidae
Description: HSALNT0041520
Source: RNAcentral
UCAGGUAAAAGUGCAUUUCUUAAAAAAAUGUUUCAAUAUCCAGUUUCCAUUGGCAAGUGAUAACAGUUAACCCUCAAUGAUUCAUGAAAAGUUUUACUGUGAAUCAAACAUAGAAUUCUGCCCCCCCUCAACAGUCAUAAAGAACCAGAAAUAGUAACUGUAAGUGUGCCUACUUCAAACACUGUAUAAAGCAGUGGUCCCCUAACCUUUUUUCAACAGGGACCGGUUUCGUGGAGACAAUUUCCACAGACACAGGUGUUGGGGUAGAUGGUUUCAGGAUGAGACUGUUCCACCUCAGAUCAUCGGGUAUUAGAUUCUCAUAAUGAGCGCACAACCUAGAUCUCUUGCAUGUGCAGUUCACAAUAGGGUUCACGCUCCUGUAAGAAUCUAAUGCCACCCAGGGGUUUGAGACCCCUAGUAUAAAGCAUUACACAAUCAAAUAAAACUGACUGCACCAUUAUUUCCAUUAUUUGCAGGUAACUGAGGAAUGAACAAGUACUUCUGUUAGGCUUCAACUUAAAUCAUUUUUAAGACUUAUCAAAUACAAAUACUUUGUGAAUGUAAAACUAAGCUCUCUUAGCGUUUACCAAAUGAUCGGGACAACAAUAUUAGAGGGUUAAUAAAUGACUGAUUUGGCAUCUAUCAGUCUUUUUGUAAGUGCUAUCAGUCAGGUCUAUCUACAGGAGGUAGUGCAGAAAGCAACUGAUAAUUCACAGACCAUCAAGGUCCCUUAACAUCAUGGCAAAUACGUAACUGUAGUUUGAGAGUUUAAGUAGGAAAAAGAAGUGUACUUAUAAAGUAGUAGUGUUUCCUAGUAUCUGUAAUUUGAGCAAUAGUAAAACACGUAAGUAAAAUCAGGAGAAGCCAUUCUGGAAAACACAGGGGUAACAGAAAUUAAGUAAUCAAGACCACAUUCUGCCAGCUAGAAGCAAAUAACUAAAUUGACUAACAUGCCAUGCAUGAGCAAAACCUUCCUCCAUAAAAGGGAUUGACAAACUCUUUAAAAGGCCAGGCAGUAUUUUGACUGUUGGAAGCCAUACAGACUCUGCUAUACUACUAAACUCAGCCACUGUACCAGGAAAGCAGCUAAAGACAAUAAGCACAGCUGUUCCAAUAAAACUUUAUUUCUGGAUACUGAAAUUUUAAUUUAAUAUGUUUUCAUGUGUCACAAAAUGUCCUUCUUUUGACUUUUUUCACCAUUAAAAAAUGUAAAAACCAGUCUCAGCUCACAGAUAGUACAAAAAACAGCUUACCAUAACACAUUUGGUUUUAACUGUUCUUUGGAGAAAGGAAGGCUUAGUAUGUAAAGAAAAAAAUGAUUAGGACCACAUCGGAAAAUUUAACAUUCUAUUUCAGAACUGAGUAAAUUCUCACAACUGUUUAGACUACUAUAUUAAAUAUUUAUAGAUCUUCAAACUUCAAUGACUUACACUUUAACGGCUACUUGCAAAGAGCAAUAUGUAAAGCCUGGCACAUAAUAUACUUAUUAACUGGACAUCAGAAAGCACGAAACCCAAUUUGUUUUACAGAUCAAACUAUCAAUAAAUUUUGAUAAAUUUUUAAAACCUAUUACUUAACUUUCGGCUACAUUUUCCUUAGUGCUUUCAGGGUAGUUCUUACAGAUUAUUUAAAUAUGUGAGGAAAAUCUAACACCUUAACAGAAUUCCAAGAAAAACUCACUUUUCGAGAAUCAUAUUAUUCAACUCCAUCUUUCAAAUUUCACUUUACGAUGAAACAGGAAUUUUCAACCACAUAAUAUAACAGAAAAUUAAGUGACCA